This 671-nucleotide long non-coding RNA is filed under the name Nicotiana benthamiana. RNAcentral's name for it is "long non-coding RNA (NBEN_LNC002630)". Lineage: Eukaryota; Viridiplantae; Streptophyta; Magnoliopsida; Solanales; Solanaceae. The record is from RNAcentral.
UCAAAAAAUACGAUAGAAUUUUGUGACUAGCAAUUUGACCUCUGUUGGAACCUUCCCAGCUUUAGUGUCGGCUCUUAACUAACAAACAGUAAUUAGGGGAAAAGCAACUAAAAAUACUUCUCCUUGACAACAACAAAAAUAUAGUAUAUUUUCAUAAACGGUAUCUGGGGAGGAUAGUGUGUAUACAGACCUUCACAAUCACUAUUAUAUCAACAAAGCAUAUUGAAUUAAGCUUAAAAAACUCUUUUAAAAAAAUUGAGUAAUGCAGGUGUUUUUCACACUUCGCCUUCAGCAUUUAAAGAAUUGUAUGACCUCCGAACAUCUCCCCCCUACCCCCCUACCCCCCUCCCCACCAAAACCCCCAAAUUACAGAUUACAUUUUACUCAUGAGGUAUCCUCUGGUACUAUACAUGGUAACAAAAAAACCAAGCAUUUUGUCAAAUCUCCAGUAACAAAGGGGUUGACUGCUAAGUCACUCGAAUAAGUAAUACAACCAUGACAAAAACUAAUGUCAUGACAAAGAUCAAGAGCCAUUGGAAGCAUGUAGUCUUGAAACUCCGGGAAUACACAUCCAUAGCCCUGGAAGUUGCAUGCCCUGUACUUGCUAGGCUAUGCUCAACUGCUUUCUCAGUUGAAUCAAGUAUCUGCAUCCACAUUAUAUGUGACAAUUA